UUCCGUAGGUGAACCUGCGGAAGGAUCAUUACCGAGUGAGGGCCCUCUGGGUCCAACCUCCCACCCGUGUCUAUCGUACCUUGUUGCUUCGGCGGGCCCGCCGUUUCGACGGCCGCCGGGGAGGCCUUGCGCCCCCGGGCCCGCGCCCGCCGAAGACCCCAACAUGAACGCUGUUCUGAAAGUAUGCAGUCUGAGUUGAUUAUCGUAAUCAGUUAAAACUUUCAACAACGGAUCUCUUGGUUCCGGCAUCGAUGAAGAACGCAGCGAAAUGCGAUAAGUAAUGUGAAUUGCAGAAUUCAGUGAAUCAUCGAGUCUUUGAACGCACAUUGCGCCCCCUGGUAUUCCGGGGGGCAUGCCUGUCCGAGCGUCAUUGCUGCCCUCAAGCACGGCUUGUGUGUUGGGCCCCCGUCCCCCUCUCCCGGGGGACGGGCCCGAAAGGCAGCGGCGGCACCGCGUCCGGUCCUCGAGCGUAUGGGGCUUUGUCACCUGCUCUGUAGGCCCGGCCGGCGCCAGCCGACACCCAACUUUAUUUUUCUAAGGUUGACCUCGGAUCAGGUAGGGAUACCCGCUGAACUUAAGCAUAUCAAUAAGCGGAGGAA
Molecule: ribosomal RNA, 599 nt
Filed under: Aspergillus sp. IARI-BF2
Lineage: Eukaryota; Fungi; Ascomycota; Eurotiomycetes; Eurotiales; Aspergillaceae
Also listed under: 1 other name
Description: eukaryotic LSU rRNA
Rfam family: 5.8S ribosomal RNA (bases 217-370)
Source: RNAcentral